Molecule: long non-coding RNA, 1426 nt
Filed under: Citrus maxima (pomelo)
Lineage: Eukaryota; Viridiplantae; Streptophyta; Magnoliopsida; Sapindales; Rutaceae
Description: long non-coding RNA (CMAX_LNC001323)
Source: RNAcentral
AAAUAAACAGAAUUUCUUGCCGAAUAGAUACCCGCUCAAGUUAUGAUCUAGGAGUGAUAUCCUACUCAUCCUAUGCAACCAUCAGCUGCAUCAACUUCAUUCCAAAAUUAACAAAUAAACCAACUGACGCAUUGCAAAUAAUAAGAUGAAACGAUAAAAUAAACCUAGAGAUCAAACAACACAAGGUAAUAUAUUAAAAAGCCUAUGGGAUCAAAACACAUCGUACUAUGUCGAGAGAGAUGACGACUCCUCCAACAGCAGAAAAUAAAUUCUUUCAUUCAUUAAUUUAAAGUAAAUUUGGUGCUCCAUCUUCUUCUCCGUCACCUAUUACCACCUCUGUCAUUGCCCUGCAUCCAGCUACCUUCAUUGAUACGAGCCGCACUAGACUUUCUGCUGUAGUGGACGGAUGUUACAAUUCCUUGCAAUGGAAAAUCAACAGUUCUGUUAGAUUCCCAAAAGAUAUAGAUGAUCAUGGGAAUAGACUUAAAUGCUUGUAAAAUAGUCGUAGAAUGUCAAGAUAUUUAAAAUGGAGUCCAGUUUGGAGUUGCUUCAAUGAUUAAGUCUGGACAGGAUUAACCAUUUUAUCAGUGCCUACUUCCCCACUUGUUUUUAGCAGUAUCCGGCUUGAUUUAAGAAUCUCUUUGUAUGAACUAUAUUACCCAAAAAAAAAAAAAAUCUUAUUUCAAAUGAUGCACAGGAGAAGAGUUACUUGAAUCUUCAUCAGUAUCCAGACAUUCUACAAUCACAGAGUAAAGAGUUCUAGCAGGAAAAACUGAGAAAACAACGUACUUCUAUAGUUUUUCACAAUAUUUCCAACGUUUUCAAACAAUAUUUCCACAAUAUAGUUUUUCAUAGCGAAGAGUUUUGCUUUGGUGGUCUAAGGAUUUGUUCUAGGCAUAAUGCUCUGAUUAGAUUUUGUUUAUUUUUAAUUUUUUAUCCGAUGAAUGAUUUUCAGCUGGUCUUAAUUAUGUGUUCAUAGGGAAGAGCAUUUGGAAAGAUCAUCAAAAAAAAAAAAAAAAAAAGUUUCCAAAGAAAGAUAGGUGUGAAGCAAACCAAACUAAAUGAACAAACUAAAAUAACAGAACAGCAAUGAUGUUUUCAAGGAAUUAUAAAAUAUGAAGGCUUUUAAUGAAAUUUUAUCAUACAAAGUAUGCAAGGAAUUAUAAAAUUUUAGAAAACAAGGGGAACUCUCAAAAAAAGAAAAAAAGAAAAAAAUACUCAAAUUAAACUAGACUAGAAGACAUUCAAUGAUGCAAAAUCUGUCCACAAAAGUCUGAACGAAUCAUUAAAAUUGCAUUCCAAAUUUAACAGUAAGCCGAUUGACCCAUUCUAAAUAAUUCAUAUGAAAUUGCGAAACAAGCCAUGAGAUCAAAUAAAUGAAAUAAAAAAUAAUUACCAGCUGAGGCUUUCUUCUAAAAUUCACAAC